Vespa crabro (European hornet) is the source of this 4804-nucleotide RNA transcript. It is a transcript of the gene named autophagy protein 5, with no coding region annotated. The transcript has 7 exons. Lineage: Eukaryota; Metazoa; Arthropoda; Insecta; Hymenoptera; Vespidae. The record is from RefSeq and is a predicted model, not a curated record.
AAUUAUUAGAUUACUACUUUAUCGGAGAUAUACUUUACAAAUUAAUUGAAGUAUUUUAUCGUUAGAUAGCGUUGUCGUUUCCAAAUCUUUAGUUCUGAUUUCUAGGUUAUUACUGGCGCUACGAUUUUAUUCUAUUGAGUUCUUGAUAACGUUGUUCGUAAUAGAAAAAUGGUAAGCAACCUAAACGAGAAGUAUUUGAUAAUUGUUAGAUCUAUGAUACGACUCGUUAGCGUUAAAAGAUAAUGUGAUAUCAUAAUAGACGAAAAAUAUACGUUUAAGUAUAUUGUCAAGGCGUAGUCAUCGUGUUUGGGUUAUAAAAAAAAAAAAAAAAAAAGAAAAAAAGAAAAAAAAGAAGAACAAACAAACAAAACAAAUUUUUUUUCUACGCAAUGGCGAAUGAUCGAGAAGUUUUGAGGGAAAUUUGGGAUGGUAAAAUUCCCGUUUGUUUUACACUCGAUACCGAGGAAACGUGCGAAUUACAAGGUCCUGAUCCGUUUUAUCUUAUGGUGCCUAGAUUAAGUUAUUUUCCAGUGUGCACAGAGAAGGUGAGAAAACAUUUUAUAAAACAUAUAGAAAGUGAUAGCAAACAGGAUCAUGAAAUGUGGUUAGAAUUUAAUGGAAUUCCAUUAAAGUGGCACUAUCCUAUUGGUGUAUUAUUAGAUAUAUAUUCGAAUGACAUUGAAUUACCAUGGAAUAUCGUUGUUCAUUUUGAUAAAUUUCCAGAAAAUGUCUUGAUGCAUUGUCAGAACAAAGAAGUUGUAGAAUCACAUUUUCUUGCUUGCGUUAAAGAGGCAGAUGUUUUAAAACAUAGAGGACAAAUUGUGUCGGCUAUGCAAAAAAAGGAACACAGCAGUUUAUGGAAUGGAUUAAUUACCGAUAAAUUCGAUCAAUUUUGGUCUAUAAAUCGAAGAUUAAUGGAAGCAGCUAAUAGCGAAGAAGGAUUCAAAUAUAUCCCUUUUCGAUGCUACACAAGCGAGGAUAAAUAUAUUCAAAAGCUUGUUAAACCAGUUAAUGAAGAAGGCCAAAGGAAAACGUUGAAACAUUUAUUGAACGAAGUAUUUCCAGAUCAAGAAAAUGUUGAAGUACGUACUCAUGGAAUUAUACCAUCACCGGAGACACCAUUGCAAUGGAUGUCAGAACAUUUAAGCUAUCCUGAUAAUUUUCUUCAUUUAGUUGUGACUUCUUCAUAACCUAUAUUGAAGAGAUGUGAUAAACUAUAACUUCAGUGUUAUUAUUUAAUAUUGCUGGUGAUUAUUUAGAAAAGAUCCUUGUAUCAUGGAUCUUCUCCUUAAAAAUACAGAUUUUAUUUUUUAUUUUUUAUUUAUUUUCUAAUAAAUGUCAGAUGGUACAUUUUGCCUCUUAUUAUAAGCAAUAGAAAUGUACUGCUUUGAUUUUAUACAUGUUUGUAUAAGGGAAGCAAGGGAAAACAAUUUAUGGAAAAUAAUUUAUUUAUUAAUAGCUAAUAAAAUCUGUUUGAUAAAGCAGAUUUUAACGUGGAUCAAUUGUUCUUACCAAUUAAAUCGAUCGUAUUUCGUAAAAAUCCGUAUCCGUGCAUUAUGAUGUAUUACGUAUAAAAUUGUUUGUAAAAUAAUUUAAAGAAUGUUUGAUAUUUAAAUUUGAAGAAAUCAAUAUAUAUUAAUUUAUUAUCUAUAGUACAAUUCUCAUGAGGCUUACGAUACAUUCUCAAUAUUCGCAAUGGCAAAGGAUCACUUACUUCUGAAACUUCGAGAGGUCUACGUAUUAUUACCGGUUGAUUUCCAUAAUUACUAUACUCCAUAGUUCUACGACUUGCUCCAAAGGUUAAAUAGUUCACUUCUUUUUUACUCUGAUGUUCCUGUAAUAAAAAGUUAAGAUAUAUUGAUCAUGGAACGAUAUCCUUUGAUUUUUCUUUUGCGAACUGAAAAAAAGAAAAAAAGAAAAGAUCACUAAAAGAUUUUCUAAGAAAACUAAUCGAGAUAUUAUUAGUUUCGAUAGCGAAUCUUUCGUAUCUCCUGAUUGAUGUUUCCUCGAAGAAAAGGAUUAAGUCAAAGAUGAAAAAGAAACGAGGAGAGGAGAGAAGGGAAAAGGGCAGAAAGAAGUUAAGAAAGGCACGAGCGUAGGAUAAAAAUAUAUACGUACAACUUCGGCGUUGCCUUUCGCAACGACAGAAACGAGACAAACGACGCUUUUUCUACUAUACCGAGGGAAGGAUCACGAUGCGUGCCUUUGUCUCCAUCUUUCUCUCUCUCCUCUCUCUCUUUCUCUUCAUCUCUGUCGUUAUGCGCCUUCAAGAACGCGUGUUCUCGCUUGUCCCUAUCUCUUUGAGUGCAAGUGCGCUUUAUAAUUAGCCGCCAUCGUGAAAAUGACUCUCGAGAGCGGCAGGAGCGUUCACUGAAGGUUUUCCCAGUCAAAUUGCUGCUCGAAUGUGACGGUCGUUUUGAUGUCACGACUUAAAUUAUUCCACUCUAAUCGCGGUUCUUCCUCGGCUAUCCUUUGAAAGAAGAAUCGACUCGAAGAAGACUAGAAGAAUAAUUAUAGGAGAACGAAUCUUAGUUGGACUACCGAUCACCCCCUUGCUUUGCUACGGACAGAAUCAGUCACGUUACUUGAGACUUUGGAAUAGAGCCAGAAAACAUUUUGUAUAUCCCUUUUGAAUUUCCGGUAGACAAAUAACAUUUCUAGAUUUAUUAGAAAGAUUUUCUCUUAUCUCUUUCUAUUUAAUUUUCUUUUUUCUUCUAUUGGAUAGGUAGAUUAUUCUCUCUUCCCCUUCCCCAAGCGCUACCGUCCUUAUAGAAAAAAAUGAUUUUAUAAUCGACAAGGGAAAUCUUUAAAAAAUGAAUAAGAAUCCGGAAACAAUUCUUAAUUUCUUUUUCAUUGAAUAUAAUUUCUUUUGAUUAAUUAUGUUUUUACAAGACUCGUCAUUACGAGUUCGUUCAAUUCGAUGGAAUAUUUUUUUACGUGCCGGUGCAUCCUUUCUAAUUGCAUAGGGGGAAAAAAAAAAAAAAAAAGAAAAAGAAAUGUAAAAAGGAUCGCGAAAGGAUUUCAAACAUUUCACCGAACGAACUGAAUUCUUAAUUAUUAAUUAUAUUCUCUCUGUGACUCCUCGUCAUUGAAUACUGACGCUCGAUCCUAUGGAAUAUUUUUCUACGUGCCAGUGCAUCCUUCCUAAUUGCAUUGCACCAGUCUGUGACAUUUAUUGGCGUUGAUUGACGCGUUGCAUCAGUCAUGCUCUACGAUUCAAGGUUCGACUUUUGUGCGCGUGCGCACGGGUUAUAUACACCCGCGUUCAUAUACAGUGGCCUCAAUAAAAACGAGUGGUGUUAUUUAUCAUCGCGAUAUAUGUAUAACGUCGUAGCUUUUGGCAAUCGGUCUUUGCUUGGUCGUCGUCCUCGUAGACGAGCAUGUAGAUCGAAAGAAAAACAAACUCUAAACAUGAAAAUAAUCAAUUGGAAUUUACGAAGUCGAUUUAUUCAAAGACGAAUCAUGCAUUUCCUAAACUUCACUUCAAAUUUUUCUUUCUUCUGCAAUUUAAUUCAAUUAUCGACAUCGAAAUUUAAAUAUUCUAUUUCAUGCACAUUUUAUAUUUCUUCUCGAUGACGUUUACGAAAUUGCAAUAAAAAUGUACGAACAUAAAGAAAUAUAUAAAAUAUCUAAGAAUGAAUUUUUAUUAAGAAAACUGAUGUGUAUGUGUGUGUUUGCGCGUGUCACGCGAGUAUAGUAAUUUUUAUCUAAUUGGCGUAUUGAUUACGUUUGUCGAAGUUCAAAUGUAAUAAUAAUUAAUUAUACUAUAGAAUUUUUAUUUUUCCCGUUCGUAGAAAUUUAUCAUGAACGAGGGACUUAAAUCAUGUUUGUGGAAUCAAACGUGAUAUCGAUAAACUCACGAUUCUGCUUUAUCUUCGAGAGCAAAGAAGCGAUCUACGGAUUUCUCGUUCUAGCAGCAGCUUUGUUCGUUUGUUUUCAAAGACGAUCAUUCGACACGUGCGUAUUUAACUUAUUUGAAACGAGUGAACAGACAAACGUCGAAACAGAUGUCGAUCGAAAUAAAUUAAGUUUCACUUGGUAUUCGUUUGAUCGCGAUAAGAAAAGUUAACUUGAAUUCAUUCAGUUAAUUUCUAAUAUUCGUUAAUCAAAGAAAAGAAAAAGAAAAAGAAAAAGAAAAAAAAAAAAGAGCGAUCACAUGUACAAAAUAUUUUUUGUUUCUUCUUCUUAUACAAAAUAUACAAUCAGUAUACAAUGGCGGAGCAAAAGAAAUCGUGUUAAUAGUACAAACGUAAAAAGAGAAUGAGGAUCAAAGGAUGCCCUCAGAUUCUACAAAAAAAAAAAAAAAAAAAGGCAUCACGUCAAUUAAAAUCGAUAUAGUAUAGCUAAGUGAGUAUGCAUCGUCACGGUGAAAGCGUCAAGUGCUAAGGCGAGACUAUGAGCGAGCAAAGCUUCAUUCUGUCACAUACAAACUUAUCUACGUACCUACAUAUACAUACAUAUAUAUGUACGUAUAUAAAUAUAAAUAUAUAUAUAUAUAUAUAUAUGUACACACAAAGAUCACCAAUCGUUCUUAUCUCGUAAAGUGGUCACAUCAUUUUCCAACGAAGAAUCGAGCAGAAGUAUGACUCUUUUUCUUAGGAACUGACAGCCCAUUUUCUUUUUUUUUUUUUUUUUUUUUUUUUACAGAUACCGAUUGCGUAAUCUUCAUUGGUGUUUAGUCAUUUUUCCAGAAGUCUUUACCUUUACCUUCGUCUAACGUCACGCUCGUGAAAGAAAAAAAAAAAAAAGAAAACAAACAAGUAAGCAAAAAAAAAAAGGGAACAAAAAGACAAAGGAAAAAAGG